AGCCUGAUGCAGCGACGCCGCGUGAGGGAUGACGGCCUUCGGGUUGUAAACCUCUUUCAGUAGGGAAGAAGGCGCAAGGUGACGGUACCUGCAUAAGAAGCGCCGGCUAACUACGUGCCAGCAGCCGCGGUAAUACCUAGGGCGCAAGCGUUAUCCGGAAUUAUUGGGCGUAAAGAGCUCGUAGGCGGUUUGUCGCGUCUGCCGUGAAAGUCCGGGGCUCAACUCCGGAUCUGCGGUGGGUACGGGCAGACUAGAGUGAUGUAGGGGAGACUGGAAUUCCUGGUGUAGCGGUGAAAUGCACAGAUAUCAGGAGGAACACCGAUGGCGAAGGCAGGUCUCUGGGCAUUAACUGACCCUGAGGAGCGAAAGCAUGGGGAGCGAACAGGAUUAGAUACCCUGGUAGUCCAUGCCGUAAACGUUGGGCACUAGGUGUGGGGGACAUUCCACGUUUUCCGCGCCGUAGCUAACGCAUUAAGUGCCCCGCCUGGGGAGUACGGCCGCAAGGCUAAAACUCAAAUGAGUUGACGG
RNAcentral lists this ribosomal RNA (528 nucleotides) under uncultured bacterium. RNAcentral's name for it is "bacterial SSU rRNA". It matches the Rfam family "Bacterial small subunit ribosomal RNA", at positions 380 to 916 of the family's 1533-position model. The record is from RNAcentral.